This 433-nucleotide ribosomal RNA is filed under the name uncultured bacterium. Its description in RNAcentral is "partial 16S ribosomal RNA". It matches the Rfam family "Bacterial small subunit ribosomal RNA", at positions 29 to 507 of the family's 1533-position model. The record is from RNAcentral.
AAUGAACGCUGGCGGCAUGCCUAACACAUGCAAGUCGAACGAAGGCUUCGGCCUUAGUGGCGCACGGGUGCGUAACGCGUGGGAAUCUGCCCUUGGGUUCGGAAUAACAGUUAGAAAUGGCUGCUAAUACCGGAUGAUGUCGUAAGACCAAAGAUUUAUCGCCCAAGGAUGAGCCCGCGUAGGAUUAGCUAGUUGGUGGGGUAAAGGCCUACCAAGGCGACGAUCCUUAGCUGGUCUGAGAGGAUGAUCAGCCACACUGGGACUGAGACACGGCCCAGACUCCUACGGGAGGCAGCAGUGGGGAAUAUUGGACAAUGGGCGAAAGCCUGAUCCAGCAAUGCCGCGUGAGUGAUGAAGGCCUUAGGGUUGUAAAGCUCUUUUACCCGGGAUGAUAAUGACAGUACCGGGAGAAUAAGCUCCGGCUAACUUCGUG